Molecule: ribosomal RNA, 316 nt
Filed under: uncultured Planctomycetales bacterium
Lineage: Bacteria; Pseudomonadati; Planctomycetota; Planctomycetia; Planctomycetales
Description: partial 16S ribosomal RNA
Rfam family: Bacterial small subunit ribosomal RNA
Source: RNAcentral
GGUUCGGGAUAGCGCGGGAAACUGCAGUAAUACCGAAUAAUGUCUCGNNAAAAUUUAUUGCCCNNGGAUCGGUCUGCUUACUAUUAGCUUGUUGGUGGGGUAAAGGCCUACCAAGGCAAAGAUGGUUAGCGGGUGUGAGAGCAUGGCCCGUCUCACUGGGACUGAGACACUGCCCAGACACCUACGGGUGGCUGNAGUCGAGAAUCUUCCGCAAUGGACGAAAGUCUGACGGAGCGACGCCGCGUGCGGGAUGAAGGCCUUCGGGUUGUAAACCGCUGUCAGAGGGGAGCAAAUUUUGAGNAAUCCUCAAAGNAAG